AUGUGCCAUACUCUAGUCAUGCAGAAUUGAACGCGGAAGGUAGGCUCGUUGAAUAUACAAGCAUAAUUUCUCUGGUAAAUAUCAUAGACCUGUCAUGCAACAAUCUAUCAGGAGUGAUGCCAGAGGAGAUAACAAAUCUCUCAACUUUGGUGACCCUGAAUUUGUCCUGGAACCAGCUAACUGGUAUGAUACCAGAGAAUAUUGGAAGCUUGAAGCAGUUAGAAGAUCCUGACCUCUCAUCUAACCACCAUUCUGGCUUAUUCCUCCGAGCAUGACUUCGUUGACUUUUUUGAAAAACCUGAAUCUGUCGUUCAACAAUUUGUCCGGACAAUUCCAUCCACCAAUCAGUUCCAUACCUUCAAUGAUCCAUCAAUUUACGAGGGUAACCCAUAUCUUUGUGGACCUCCAUUGCCAAUCAUGUGUGACAUCACCAACAAUGGGAAAGCUGGAUUCAACAGUUACAAAGCGAAAGGUGAAGAUGAUCCUGAAAAUCUAUGGUUUUACAUGGGCAUUGGAUCAGGAUUUAUAGUGGGAUUUUGGGAUGUUUGUGGAAGCUUGGCCAUCAAGAAGUCUUGGAGACAUGCCUAUUUCAAAUUUCUUUAUGGAGUGGAAGAAAAGCUAUUUAUGUUCAUUACACACAGCUCACUGGCAAUUAAAAUGAAGAUGGCAAGAAACUAGGAGGCAAAGAACCAUAGAGAACGCGAAUCAUAUGGAUGAUCAAGCUUGAGAGGAAAGAACGUGAACUAAAAGGAAGGCAAAUCAUUCCUCGCUAGGUUGUUUGUGUGUACUUCCGGCGACAUUUCUAUUGGUUGUAUUUUGUCUUACUGGUCAUGAUGUUGAGUGCAACUUGUUCGAGGGGGGUGGAACUGUGAUGGAAGAGUCGUGAAUAAACUGGAGCAUUUCGUUGCAUUUGUGCUACUAUGUAUACACAAAAUUGCUGUACUGGGAGCUGAUACAAAUCUGUAAUAUAUGUAA
Long non-coding RNA from Populus nigra (black poplar), 975 nucleotides. RefSeq lists it as uncharacterized. The record is from RefSeq and is a predicted model, not a curated record. The transcript has 2 exons. NCBI's taxonomy places the organism in Eukaryota, Viridiplantae, Streptophyta, Magnoliopsida, Malpighiales, Salicaceae.